CACGUAGGGUGCGAGCGUUGUCCGGAAUUAUUGGGCGUAAAGAGCUCGUAGGCGGUGUGUCGCGUCGGCCGUGAAAACCUGCAGCUUAACUGUGGGCUUGCGGUCGAUACGGGCAUCACUGGAGUUCGGCAGGGGAGACUGGAAUUCCUGGUGUAGCGGUGAAAUGCGCAGAUAUCAGGAGGAACACCGGUGGCGAAGGCGGGUCUCU
Molecule: ribosomal RNA, 208 nt
Filed under: uncultured bacterium
Lineage: Bacteria
Description: partial 16S ribosomal RNA
Rfam family: Bacterial small subunit ribosomal RNA
Source: RNAcentral